GAUGAAGAACGUAGCGAAAUGCGAUACGUAAUGUGAAUUGCAAAUUCAGUGAAUCAUCGAGUCUUUGAACGCACAUUGCGCCCCCUGGUAUUCCGGGGGGCAUGCCUGUCCGAGCGUCAUUGCUGCCCUCAAGCACGGCUUGUGUGUUGGGCCCCGUCCUCCGAUCCCGGGGGACGGGCCCGAAAGGCAACGGCGGCACCGCGUCCGGUCCUCGAGCGUAUGGGGCUUUGUCACCCGCUCUGUAGGCCCGGCCGGCGCUUGCCGAUCAACCCAAAUUUUUAUCCAGGUUGACCUCGGAUCAGGUAGGGAUACCCGCUGAACUUAAGCAUAUCAAUAAGCGGAGGA
This 345-nucleotide unclassified non-coding RNA is filed under the name soil metagenome. RNAcentral's name for it is "partial contains 5.8S ribosomal RNA, internal transcribed spacer 2, and large subunit ribosomal RNA". The stretch from base 1 to 119 matches the Rfam family "5.8S ribosomal RNA", at positions 35 to 154 of the family's 154-position model. The record is from RNAcentral.